GUAGGUGAACCUGCGGAAGGAUCAUUACCAAACGAGUGAGAAAUCGCUCUCUACCUGCUCGGUGGCCCUCGGGUCGCUGACCGGUUUUAACCCUUUGUGAACCAAAAAAACCUUUUCGCUUCGGCAGUUGGGCCUGACCGUUUGUUAGUCUGUCGUUAGUACUAAACCACAAACCUGUUGUCAAAACAUUGUCUGAUAACCAAAUUUUCGAAUGAAAAUUAAAACUUUCAACAACGGAUCUCUUGGUUCCC
This 251-nucleotide unclassified non-coding RNA is filed under the name rhizosphere metagenome. Its description in RNAcentral is "partial ribosomal RNA internal transcribed spacer region". The record is from RNAcentral.